GUGAGCAAAAAAAUAAAUAAAAUAAAAUAAAUAAAUUAGAGAAGCGGGUGUGAGAAUAGGUGCUGCCCGUUGGCCUGUUACAUAAAAGAAACAGGGGGUGGUGGGGUAAAGAUCAAAAGUAAAAAAUAUAAAGAGAGAGGUGUACUUUAUAUGAAGUGUAGUGGGCAUGUACUGUAUUAAGCAAGUUUUAAUUUCCAAGAAAUCAGUCUUGCCCCUUCCCCAUACAGUCAGUAUUUAAAC
Molecule: non-coding RNA, 240 nt
Organism: Pelobates cultripes (western spadefoot toad)
Lineage: Eukaryota; Metazoa; Chordata; Amphibia; Anura; Pelobatidae
Source: the annotation of a GenBank genome assembly